Molecule: ribosomal RNA, 542 nt
Filed under: Sarocladium strictum
Lineage: Eukaryota; Fungi; Ascomycota; Sordariomycetes; Hypocreales; Sarocladiaceae
Description: eukaryotic LSU rRNA
Rfam family: 5.8S ribosomal RNA (bases 153-306)
Source: RNAcentral
GCUCUCCAACCCAUUGUGAACUUACCAAACGUUCCCUCGGCGGGCUCAGCGCGCGGCGGCCUCCGGGCCUCCGGGCGUCCGCCGGGGAAAACCAAACCCUGAUUUAAUCGUAUUUCUCUGAGGGGCGAAAGCCCGAAAACAAAAUGAAUCAAAACUUUCAACAACGGAUCUCUUGGCUCUGGCAUCGAUGAAGAACGCAGCGAAAUGCGAUAAGUAAUGUGAAUUGCAGAAUUCAGUGAAUCAUCGAAUCUUUGAACGCACAUUGCGCCCGCCGGCACUCCGGCGGGCAUGCCUGUCCGAGCGUCAUUUCAACCCUCAGGCCCACCCUUCCGGGGGAGCGGGCCUGGUUCUGGGGAUCGGCGGCCCUCGCGGCCCCCGUCCCUCAAAUUCAGUGGCGGUCGCGCCGCAGCCUCCCCUGCGUAGUAGCACAACCUCGCACCGGAGAGCGGAACGACCACGCCGUAAAACACCCAAUUUUUUAAGGUUGACCUCGGAUCAGGUAGGAAUACCCGCUGAACUUAAGCAUAUCAAUAAGCGGAGGA